Molecule: non-coding RNA, 770 nt
Filed under: Histeridae sp. BMNH 1274329
Lineage: Eukaryota; Metazoa; Arthropoda; Insecta; Coleoptera; Histeridae
Source: RNAcentral
UUAAAGUUUUAUUCUAGCUUUACGGAUUAAUUUAGUAUUCUUAUACAUGUGAGGUUUAAUAAGUUGUGAAACAAUUUAAAUAAUUAUAAAGCUUAUUCGCAGUAUUUAAUAUUGAUUUAUGGAUUUAUGUCUGAAUUGGGGAUUAUUAUAAGGAAUAACAAAGUUUGUGCCAGCAGUUGCGGUUAUACAAACAUUUCAAUUAAUUUUUAUAUAAGGGAGAAUUAAAAUUAUAAGUUAAUAUUUAUAUUUAAAUUUUUUAGGUGAAAUUUUAAGUUUAGGUUAAGUAAUAAUUAUUUUAAGUAUUUUGAAACUGAUUUAUAAACUAGGAUUAGAUACCCUAUUAUUAGAGGUGUAAAGGUUUUAUUAGGUUAGUAAUAGUUAUGUUCUUGAAAAUUAAAGAUUUUGGCGGUAUCUUAGUCCGCUCAGAGGAGCCUGUCUUGUAAUUGAUAAUCCACGAACCAAUAAAUUUUCUCUUUGUUUGUAUAUCGUCGUGGUAGAAAAUUUUAAUAGAAUAGAAAUUUUCACAAUUUAUUAAUAGGAAAUAUCAGAUCAAGGUGCAGCUUAUGGGAAAAACUAAGAUGGGCUACAAUAAUUUAAUUUAUACGGAAAAAUUUAUUUAUAAAAAUUUAGAAGGCGGAUUUGAAAGUAAUUUUAAUUAGGUUAUUGAAAUGACUUGGGCUCUAGGAUAUGCACAUAUCGCCCGUCACUUUCAAUUAAGUUGAAAUAAGUCGUAACAAAGUAGGUGUAUUGGAAAAUGUGCCUAGAAUGCA